RNAcentral lists this ribosomal RNA (563 nucleotides) under uncultured bacterium. RNAcentral describes it as "bacterial SSU rRNA". It matches the Rfam family "Bacterial small subunit ribosomal RNA", at positions 338 to 916 of the family's 1533-position model. The record is from RNAcentral.
CCUACGGGAGGCAGCAGCGGGGAAUCUUGCGCAAUGGGCGAAAGCCUGACGCAGCAACGCCGCGUGCGGGAAGAAGGCCCUAGGGUUGUAAACCGCUUUCAGUAGGAACGAAAAUGACGGUACCUGCAGAAGAAGGUGCGGCCAACUACGUGCCAGCAGCCGCGGUGACACGUAGGCACCAAGCGUUGUCCGGAUUUAUUGGGCGUAAAGAGCUCGUAGGCGGUUCAGUAAGUCGGGUGUGAAAACUCUGGGCUUAACCCAGAGCCGCCACUCGAUACUGCUGUGACUUGGGUUCGGUAGGGGAGCAGGGAAUUCCUAGUGUAGCGGUGAAAUGCGCAGAUAUUAGGAGGAACACCGGUGGCGAAGGCGCUGCUCUGGGCCGAUACUGACGCUGAGGAGCGAAAGCGUGGGUAGCAAACAGGAUUAGAUACCCUGGUAGUCCACGCCGUAAACGUUGGGCACUAGGUGUGGGUUCCAACCAACGGAAUCCGCGCCGUCGCUAACGCAUUAAGUGCCCGCCUGGGGAGUACGGCGGCAACGCUAAAACUCAAAGGAAUUGACGG